UACAGAGGGUGCGAGCGUUGUUCGGAAUUAUUGGGCGUAAAGCGCUGGUAGGUGGCUCGUUAAGUCGCGUGUGAAAGCUCCAGGCUCAACCUGGAAAGUGCGCGCGAAACUGGCGAGCUUGAGUGCCGGAGAGGGUCGCGGAAUUCUCGGUGUAGAGGUGAAAUUCGUAGAUAUCGAGAGGAACACCGGUGGCGAAGGCGGCUUUCUGGACGGUUACUGACGCUGAGACGCGAAAGCGUGGGGAGCAAACAGG
This 253-nucleotide ribosomal RNA is filed under the name uncultured bacterium. Its description in RNAcentral is "partial 16S ribosomal RNA". It matches the Rfam family "Bacterial small subunit ribosomal RNA", at positions 524 to 776 of the family's 1533-position model. The record is from RNAcentral.